This 5691-nucleotide long non-coding RNA is filed under the name Sus scrofa (pig). Its description in RNAcentral is "lncRNA (ENSSSCG00050059937.1)". Lineage: Eukaryota; Metazoa; Chordata; Mammalia; Artiodactyla; Suidae. The record is from RNAcentral.
CACAGAACAUUUACGAAAGAGGACAAUGAACUAAACGUGACGAAUUAAACACCUUAAGCGUGGGGAUUUAGUCGGAAGCCCAACUUGCAGGACACACAGGAGGGUCAGCCCAGAUUCGACGAGGUCUCUGCUGACAUCUGGGAAAGCGUCCGACAGGAGAGAGGAGAGAGCAGGGUGUGUUGCCCACGUCAUCCGGGGACUAACGGUGGAGCGAUAACGAUGACCAGGCCGUCAUUCAGGGGCUUCUUCAGGCUGCCUUUUUCCGGUUGAGGUCCUGAGAUCUGGCCGCAGCCCCACGAGGGAGGGGAGGCCACAGGGAGACCAAGCCCCUCCCUCCCCCUGCCGCCAACGUGGCUCUUGUUCAAAAAUCUCUUUCCCACCCUGCAACUGUACAGGCGAUGUCUGAACCCAGGGCUCCGGUGUAUCAGACAGAUGGGAAAGCCUUGACUCAAACGGAUGUGGGGGUUAUUACAGGAAGGACUGCUGGGCCGUCGGCAGUUAGCGCAAACGACACCAUCACUCUUCUCUGAGACAAGGCCGUUACGGCUGCGGUGCUGGACCACCACGCGGAUACGGGCGCCGAUGUCCUAGGAAUACUGAAACAAUGCCAAGUAGAUAUGAAUUAUAAAUAUUAGAAACACUUUAGUGUCACGUCUAUUUCACUAGUUUGUGCUUACUUGAAAAUGGGGGAUUCACAACUGGAAUAUUCAAGUGAUGAGAGAGUAUCCGUCUACACUAUUUCAAGAUAAAGAGAAUUUAUCGGCUUUGACUCACUCAUUCCUGUUUUCUUAAAGACACUCUUCCAAUCAUUCUUAUUCUUUUUUCCCUCGUUUUAAUUUGCUUCUCCACAUCAUGUUUCUUCCUGCUUAUUUCAACACAGUGUCUCUAACUACCAAGUAGCUUGCUAGAAACAGCAGAACUUACUGCUAAAUAUCACAUUAAAAAAAGGUCUUCUGGGGAACUCCCUUUGCGGCUCAGUGGUUAACCAACCUGACUAGGGUCCAUGAGGAUGCAGUUUUGAUCCCUGGCCUCGCUCAGUGGGUUAAGGAUCCAACGUUGCUGUGAGCUGCGUAUAAUAACUAAAGCACCUUUUCUAGAAGCAACACCCACUUUUCUUUUCUUUUGAACCCUUUCUUCUUUAUUAUGUACAUAGUCUAGGUUUGGGGCUGGAGAUUAUUAUGAGAAAACAACUAAGCCUCCCUAGAUCCACGACACACACGGAAAGAAUGACUGCAAACAUGUUAAAUAAUACAUUUCAGUCUUUGAAUGGAUAAAAAAAUCUGAUUUUAAUUUCCCCAAUUUACUGUUUCAAUUAAACUGUGGUGGCAGAGUGAGGGGCAGGAAAUUUAUGUGAACUUCCUGAAUUCUGAAGGUAUUAGCUGCCCAUCACCUGCAAGCAAAAACCAAGGACAUAAUUCAGAUAAAAUCCAAUGCGACUUGCAUGGAAAAGGGCUGCGGUUUUGAAACAAACAGGCAAACACCCGUCCCAUGAAGACUUGCCCGACUCUUCGCAGGGAGCCGUGGGGCAGACCUCUGUCGACAUUUCCCAAACUGCUAAACAAGCCACAUGCGUCCCUCGAUCCAAAUGAACCAGUUCCCCAUAAACGCACUCCGAGGAUCCAGCCCCCGCAGAGCCUGGCUGAAGCUACCUUGGGAAUCUUCUCAGCCCCACCCCUGCUUCCUCAAGUCUUUACCUCUGUGACGCAAAUUCUGAGCAAAAGCGGGAGGUGGGGAGAGUGGAGACACCCCUCUUCUGUAAGGGUAAAGGCAUCCGAAGCUUUGCGUUUUAACAGAAUAACCAGUUCUCUGGGUCUGAAACCCUGGACUCCUGGUGAGGCUGGUGCUGUGAAGCUCGUGGGAGAGGCGGGGAAGCGUUUCCGUGCUCAUCCCGCACCACUGGUUUUCUCUGAGCACCCACGAGCCCCAGGACCUGCUACGGGGAGCCUAAACCUUAAACACAAUGCAUAACUCGUAAGCAAAUCCCUUUGUAAUUUUUUAAGACAGAAAAUGUCUUUGGGACGGCAUUUUCCUGGCCAUCUGGUCUCUGCGUUAUUUUGGGUCUAAUAAACAUCAUAGUGAUUAAAGGCAUAAGCUUUGGAGGCAAAGAGAAUCAAGUUUGAUUUUUUUUUGGUCUUUUUUUAGGGCUGCACCCACGGCAUACGGAGGUUCCCAGGCUAGGAGUUGAAUCAGAGCUGCAGCUGCCGGUCUACACCACGGCCACAGCAAUGCAGGAUCCGAGCUGUGUCUGCAACCUACACCACAGCUCACAGCAACACUGGAUCCUUAACCCACUGAGCGAGGCCGGGGAUCGAAUCCUCGUCCUCAUGGAUCCUAGUCGGGUUUGUUACUGCUGAGCCACCAUUGGAACUCCCCAACUUUGACUCUUGAGUCCCCUUAAUUACUAUCAACAUGACCACAGUCAAGCUAUCUAACCCUUUAGUAGAGUUUCCUCAUCUAUGAAAAGGGUGUAACUGUACUUAUUUUUAGGGCUGUACUCUACUGGGGUUCUAAUAGACUUAGAUAGUGUGUCAGGAUGGUUUUAUUUGCAUAAGGGAAAACUCAAAUCAAACUGGCUUAAACAAUAAGAGGAAAGUGAUUGGGUCACAUAACUAAAAUGUUCCAUGGUAAUGAGGACAUCAGGUAUGGGCUGAUCAGGACUCCAACCUCAUUUCUCUAUGGUUUUCUUGGCUCUGCCCUCCUCUAUGUGUUGGUUCCUCUGUAGGCUGGAUAGCCCCAUGGUCACAGAAAGCUGCCGGGAUCCAUGCCUCCUGGUUCCCCCAGAGUCAAUGAACAAAGGCCCCAAGUUACAUCCCAUUGUGACUGUCCUGGACCACACACUCAACUCUGAGCUAGUCACUGGGGCCAGGAAAAUGCCACAGGCAGGGUGCACACAGGUACACACACACAUGUGCAGGUGCAUACAGUUAAAAACGCAUGGACAUAUAAACUUAUAUUUAUAGAGAUCUGAUCAUUUUAUUUUAAUUUCCGGGUUGUCAAAGUAAAUACUUCAUCUUUGCUGAGAAAGAAAAUUGGUGUGAUUUAGUUUGCAAAGGGCUCAAGCCUCUUUACCUUAAAACCUAUAAAAUACAAAGACUUGUUGGCUGGAAAAAUGAGAGUCAUUUUAAUUCUGGUUUUGUCUCCAUUUUUUUUUUCCUCCCAGGUGUGUGUCUGGAAAUACGAAGUGCACUUGAAGGGUUAAUUACAGAUAACCAUGUCUUUCCGAACACAAAGGUGAGCUGUGGAUGCUGACAUAAUAUUGUAAAAGAAUCAAAUUCAUAGAAUAUAUUGCUUAGGAAGAAUUCAGGGAAGCAAACCAAACCUUGCAAGGUGCCAUGGAAUCUUUCAGCACAGAUACUGCAAAACUCUAUAAGGUCUGUGCCCGCCAGUGGUCAGGGAUGUCCCUCCUGGGACCAGGGGAAGGCUUGGGUGUGGAUAUGGGGGGGGCGGUGCACACGGGCAGCCAGUCUCUCAGGUCCCAGCAUCCUCUGAAGGCAGGGCAGCCUCGGCUUUCCCCACCUGCUGCAUCGCUCACGGCAGAAGAGACACUGUGAAUUCCUUCAACGUGUGUCCUUCUGCCCACGUCCCUUUCCAAGCCUCGUUUUGUUUCCUCCUCCAGCUUUUCUCUGGUGUUCCCACCCGGGAUGCCAGGCUCCGCCCACCAGGCUCGGGGUGGACCUGAAGCAGCAGGAGGGAACUCUGUUGUCCUGAAGAGCCUGGAGAUUCCCAGGCCGGCCCACGGCGUCCGCAAAGUACCCGCGACUCCAGUAUUUCUGGCCCUUCAGCCAUCGGACAGCAGUGGCCCUCCCUCCCAGCAGUGCAUUGGUGGAAUCCUGAACUCCUUGAUCUUCUUCUUCUUCUUUUUUUUGUCUUUUUAGGCAAAAAACCUGCUGCAUAUGGAGGUUCCCAGGCUAGGGGUCCAAUCAGAGCUACAGCUGCCGGCCUGCACCGCAGCCACAGCAACGUGGGAUCUGAGCCACGUCUGCGACCUACACUACAGCUCAUGGCAACACGGGAUCCUUAACCCACUGAGCGAGGCCAGGGAUCGAACCUGAGUCCUCAUGGAUACUAGUUGGAUUUGUUUCCGCCGAACCACGAUGGGAACUUCCUUCCCUUUGGAAGGAAGGUGUCACAUGCUGCUGGGUCCCCUCUAGCAAUGUAGCCUUUACCCCAGGCUGGUGUUCUGGAACUUUUCCCCUGUGCUUCAGCUACAAACAGGGUGAGGGACCAGAAGUGAGUGGCUGCCCCAGGUCCCUGCUCAUGGCCCCUAACGCCUCCUCUCCACUGCAUCUGGUCCUAGUGCUUUACUUUAGCCAGAAACAACCCAGUGGAGCCCACAGGUGACACUCCAUCCAUGACCAGGUGUGAGCCGCUGUCACGCCCAGGGCGUGGGGGGCAGGACUCUACAGUUUGGAUGUCAACUGCUUCCCACAUUUUGGUGUUUUUCCCUGAGCAGCCAUGCACAAACCUCAGUGCCAGCCCCUCCCCUGCUCAUCGCAUCUCUCUCUGUGUCUUUGCCUGCCCGCCCGCCUCUUCCUGGCCUCUGCUGCCCGCCUUCUCCCCGUUUCUUUCACGCCUCCUUCCCUGCCACCCCAAUUCUCCUCAUCUCCCCCUCUUCACUCUCCUCCACUCCCGCCUCCUCAUUAUUCUUUAAAACGAAGUAGCAGUUUGGUGUUCUUGGACUCACAGAGACGGCUUAGCUCCACCCGUCUGUGUUACAGUUUCAGAACCUUCCCUGUUAUUCCAAGCCUUUAGUGAACAGCAUGCACCUGAAUUUUCUAAGUUGGAGGGGAAGUUCGCUUUAGCAGUCAGGAAAAAGUCCAGCCCUGCAAUGUGACUGCCUCUGCCUGGAACCCUUCACUUUAAAUGGUGUUUGUAAUUUUUCACUAAUACUUUGGGUGUGGUAUUUAAUAACCCCGACUGCAGCAAUCCUGGCUGUUGCCGGCGGACAGGAGCCUGAAGCAAGGUGUGCAGGCCAGGAGCAGUGCUGCGGGAAGUUCGGGCUCCGUGUCGAAGAUGGAUUGCAGUGUAACGGGAAGCAGGAAGCUUCUUCAUAUUUAUUUACUUAGUGCCCUCCAGGCCAUUUCAUCUGUUCCUGGCAAAGCUGAUACGGUACCAGGUUUCAGAGCAGGAAACUUGAGCCUCAAGAAGGGUUGGCCGGACCCUUGCCAACGUUGCCCAUGUAGUAAGUGGCUGAGCAAGGACGGAAAAGUGGGGUCUGCUCCAGCCCUGCCAGCUGCUUGUGCCAUAGGCGGGACAAACCUAGCCCGCUGUGGGGGUGGGGGGAUGAAGCCAGUGCAGAAGAAAUGAUUACACGUCCGUCGCUGGCAAAGGCUAACAACGAAACCACCAGCAACCAGUAACGUACCACUCUUUCCUGACCAGGGCCAUCUCAAUCAAACUCCUCACUAAGACUGGGGGUGCUGGGUGCUGGAGAUGCAAGGAUGACACACUGGAUCCCAGAUUUCAAGGUGCCUGCUCCUGGGCCCAGGUGCAGGGCAGGUACAGGGGCUGCAGUGCCACACCUGGGCCAUGAUAGGACCUUUCAACAGGGAUGGGGGCUCAUGAGCUCCAUGUGCGGUGAGCCAGGGAUGUGGUGCUGAGGGUGGGAUGGGAUGGGGCGCCUACAGCUAGACCCUGUGACCCUGGGGAAGGUGCCCAAGGUCAGGUGCACAGAGGGAUGCUUUCACAAAC